GUGAUGUUCAGAAUGAGCUGUAAUCUC
This 27-nucleotide small RNA is filed under the name Bombyx mori (domestic silkworm). RNAcentral's name for it is "ovarian small RNA-17857". Lineage: Eukaryota; Metazoa; Arthropoda; Insecta; Lepidoptera; Bombycidae. The record is from RNAcentral.